CUACGGAAGGUCCGGGCGUUAUCCGGAUUUAUUGGGCUUAAAGGGAGCGCAGGCGGAGAUGCAAGCGUGACGUCAAAUUUCGGGGCUCAACCCCGUCUCGCGUCGCGAACUGCGUCCCUUGGUUGCGGGAAGGGGAGGCGGAACUCGUGGUGUAGCGGUGAAAUGCAUAGAUAUCACGAAGAACUCCGAUCGCGAAGGCAGCCUUCCGGCCCGUCAACGACGCUCAUGCUCGAAGGUGCGGGUAUCAAACAGGAUUAGAUACCCUGGUAGUCCGCACAGUAAACGAUGGACACCCGCGGUUUGGCCUAUAUGGCUGAGCCGCCAAGCGAAAGCGUUAAGUGUCCCACCUGGGGAGUACGCCGGCAACGGUGAAACUCAAAGGAAUUGACGGGG
RNAcentral lists this ribosomal RNA (393 nucleotides) under uncultured bacterium. Its description in RNAcentral is "partial 16S ribosomal RNA". It matches the Rfam family "Bacterial small subunit ribosomal RNA", at positions 523 to 918 of the family's 1533-position model. The record is from RNAcentral.